RNAcentral lists this ribosomal RNA (498 nucleotides) under uncultured bacterium. RNAcentral's name for it is "partial 16S ribosomal RNA". It matches the Rfam family "Bacterial small subunit ribosomal RNA", at positions 30 to 523 of the family's 1533-position model. The record is from RNAcentral.
AUUGAACGCUGGCGGCAUGCCUUACACAUGCAAGUCGAACGGUAACAGGUCUUCGGAUGCUGACGAGUGGCGAACGGGUGAGUAAUACAUCGGAACGUGCCUAGUAGUGAGGGAUAACUACUCGAAAGAGUGGCUAAUACCGCAUGAGAUCUACGGAUGAAAGCAGGGGAUCGCAAGACCUUGUGCUAAUAAAGCGGCCGAUGGCAGAUUAGGUAGUUGGUGGGAUAAAAGCUUACCAAGCCGACGAUCUGUAGCUGGUCUGAGAGGACGAUCAGCCACACUGGGACUGAGACACGGCCCAGACUCCUACGGGAGGCAGCAGUGGGGAAUUUUGGACAAUGGGCGAAAGCCUGAUCCAGCAAUGCCGCGUGCAGGAUGAAGGCCUUCGGGUUGUAAACUGCUUUUGUACGGAACGAAAAGCCCCGGGUUAAUACCCUGGGGUCAUGACAGUACCGUAAGAAUAAGCACCGGCUAACUACGUGCCAGCAGCCGCGGUAA